Long non-coding RNA from Homo sapiens (human), 861 nucleotides. RefSeq lists it as uncharacterized. NCBI's taxonomy places the organism in Eukaryota, Metazoa, Chordata, Mammalia, Primates, Hominidae. The record is from RefSeq and is a predicted model, not a curated record. The transcript is spliced from 3 exons.
AAGCCCACCCAGCCCAAAAGCCAGGUGGCAAGAAAGUUAAUCCCCCUGGGGUCUCCCUCAGCUGUUGCGGGAAUCAAAUGCCUUAGGCUCCUGUCCUUAGAGGGUCACUUCUGGGAGGCAUUCUGGACACUUCCGAGGCCGGGGAAUCCUCCCUCGUCACCUGCAGCAGCAGUCUCAGUGACACGCCUGUGUGUUGGUUCUUCCCUGCCUCCCUUACUCCAGCUUCCUGAAGCCACCUCUCAAACCAGCCACCUGCGUGCAAGUCCCUGCCUUACCUCUGCUUCCAGCCAGUUUGGGGCCAGCUUCUCUUACCUGCAGGACACCGGCUUCUUGUCUCCUUGUGCCUUGACUAUGGGGGUGUGUGCUGGUCACUCCAAAGGGACCACAUCUCGUCUGUCUCUGUUCCCAGUGAGCACAGGACAUACGCCCAACACUAACAGAAUCCGGAGCGUCGUGGAUAUUCAAAUGAUGAAGACACUAAGUAUGACGCUUUACAAACAUCUGUGCUGCUCCUAUGCCUUGUAACCCAGGUAGGCCCUAAUGCUGAUGUGGGAACCUCGACCGUGGACUUUGCAUGGAAUCCUGGGGCUUGAAGAUGGAGCAGAGAAAGCCAGGGAGGGCCCACCCUGGCCACCACCCCUGAACCUUGGAUACAUACUCCGAAAGUCCAGCUGCAGGGACAGGACAUCCUUGAAGAGGAUGCCCUCCUGCUUGGCCAGCUGCCCGGCCUCCUCCUGGGGGCCCUGGUCCCCGACGGCCAGCUUGAGCAUGUCAUCGUCCAUCACCCUCGGCUCCAUCGAGUUGCACGGCUGGUUCAUCUUCCCCCACGUUUUCCCUAAAAAACACCGCAUUCUUCCUUCA